ACUCCUACGGGAGGCAGCAGUGAGGAAUAUUGGACAAUGGGGCAACCCUGAUCCAGCCAUGCCGCGUGAGUGAUGACGGCCUUAGGGUUGUAAGCUCUUUCGCUAGGGAAGAUAAUGACGGUACCUAGUAAAGAAGCCCCGGCUAACUUCGUGCCAGCAGCCGCGGUAAUACGAAGGGGGCUAGCGUUUGUUUCGGAAUCACUGGGCGUAAAGCGCGCGUAGGCGGACUUUUUAAGUCAGGGGUGAAAUCCCGAGGCUCAACCUCGGAACUGCCUUUGAUACUGGAAGUCUUGAGUUCGAGAGAGGUGAGUGGAAUACCGAGUGUAGAGGUGAAAUU
This 337-nucleotide ribosomal RNA is filed under the name uncultured bacterium. RNAcentral's name for it is "bacterial SSU rRNA". It matches the Rfam family "Bacterial small subunit ribosomal RNA", at positions 335 to 688 of the family's 1533-position model. The record is from RNAcentral.